Molecule: long non-coding RNA, 958 nt
Organism: Uranotaenia lowii
Lineage: Eukaryota; Metazoa; Arthropoda; Insecta; Diptera; Culicidae
Exons: 3
Source: RefSeq, a predicted model, not a curated record
UUUCAUUCAUUCAUUCGUUGGUUCGUGUUUGGUGAAAAAUCACUGAAAAAUCGCCAGCAGGAAAAAGUGCUUCAUUUUCUUUCCCCUGGCUCGCAUGUGUGUUGGAAAAACCUGGAAAAUUCGAAUUCGGACCUUUUCGCUGACUUGUCUUUGGUGUUUUCGGUGCGUUUGUGCCUGCGGGAAUCUGCAGUUUUCCUCGAUUUUGAGUGGAACGGAAUAAAUAGUGCCCCAAUUGCCCCCGGAAGUUUGUUGUGUGUGAAAUUUGCCGUUCGAUCUUGCGGAACAGAGCAUUUUCGACGGAGUUCGUUUGGAAUACGAAAGGAAUAAAAAUUGGAUCCCGUUUGGAAGCGAAAUAAGCGCUAUUUGUCGUGCAGCGGUCCGGACGCUUUGGUACCAUUUUUUGGUCCGAUUGUUCGGUGAAUUCUUUAGCAGAGGAUUAAGUACAAAGCUGGCGAGAGGAAAGGAAAUAAUUGAUACACAAAAGUGCAGAUUUAGUACCAGUUUGUAGGGGAGCCUUUGUGGCUGGUUUUUGGUUUUCUUUUUCGUUUUUGUAAACGUAACUGCUUUUUCUUCGUGGUGGGAAACUUGUCAGUGGGAAGAAAACCAGUGGAAGUAAAGGAAGAAAACGUAGAAGAAAAUCGAAGACGAAUUUCCUGUGGCUGGCGAGAACGAGACGAAGCAUAAGCUGUCAUCUUGUAAUUUACGGAAAACUUUAGUGCAAGGUUUCUGAAACCAAAUCAGAACAGUUAACAGAUAUUUUUUUGUGUUCGGACUACUGGAAGGACUGUUUUCUUUUUCUGAGUUACGGAACACAAGCCGAGAACGAAAUUACCAAUGUCAACCGUGUCAGAGCAGCGAAUGAAAGGACAAGGAAAUCACGGUAAUGUAGAACCAAAUAACUACUUAUAGCACCAAUGAUAUCGAAAUACCUAUUUCAUAACGAAUGUUAAAAAUUGAA